GAAGUGCCUUUACGUGUCACAAAAAGUACACUUGAGCUUUCUCUUGCUUUGCGUUUCUUUCUUCUCCUUUCUUUUCUUUUCCUCUUUCCAUUUUCAAUUCCUCUGUUCUAAACAAUAACAUAUAAACUAAACACUCUAAUCCAUUUUAUACCUUUCUCUUGUUGUACUUCCAAGUUGAUUUUCGCUCACAGAUGAUUGAAUGUUCCAAGCCAUGAAAGAAAGUAAGAGCAUCCUUGUUGCAGUUUGCUUCUUCCAAAAGCUUGGCGUCCAGACUGGAUGCAGGUUAGUUGCAGUUACUAGAUGGAUGACAAUAUUCAGCACUAACUUCUGCACUUUCUUCCUGGCAGAUGUUAGAGUCUUUGUAUUAUUUAUUUCAUUGUCAGUCUAUGUUGUAAUAGGUAGCUCUUGUACAUGUCUGGUCAAGUCUUGGGAUAGUGAAGGACAUUUGUAAGAAGUAUUUGUAAAAAGUUUGUUUAUUAGUAUUUAAUUUACUUUAUAUUUCCUUAAAAACAAAA
Long non-coding RNA from Capsicum annuum, 515 nucleotides. RefSeq lists it as uncharacterized. The transcript has 3 exons. NCBI's taxonomy places the organism in Eukaryota, Viridiplantae, Streptophyta, Magnoliopsida, Solanales, Solanaceae. The record is from RefSeq and is a predicted model, not a curated record.